UCAACUCCAAAAUCGAAAUGUCAGGGUACCCUCAACAACCAGCUGGCUACGGCUACGGCCAAGGCCCACCGCCAUCACAACAAUCCCAACCUUACGGUUCUGCAGCGCCAUACACCUCUCCUUACGGCGCACCACCACAACCUUCUGCUCCAUACGGCACCGCACCACAACCUACUGCUCCAUACGGCAGCGCACAACAUGCUGCUCCAUACGGCACCGCGCAAGCUUAUGGCUCCCCCUACGCAGCUGCCCCUCCCGGCACCAAGCCUCCAAAGGACAAACCCCAAGGUUCCACACCUGGCGGCUAUCCUCCUGCUCCCUACGGAAGCAGCCCCUUUGCUUCUCUC
This 347-nucleotide long non-coding RNA is filed under the name Populus tremula. RNAcentral's name for it is "long non-coding RNA (PTRE_LNC001168)". Lineage: Eukaryota; Viridiplantae; Streptophyta; Magnoliopsida; Malpighiales; Salicaceae. The record is from RNAcentral.